RNAcentral lists this ribosomal RNA (495 nucleotides) under uncultured bacterium. Its description in RNAcentral is "partial 16S ribosomal RNA". It matches the Rfam family "Bacterial small subunit ribosomal RNA", at positions 30 to 507 of the family's 1533-position model. The record is from RNAcentral.
UGAACGCUGGCGGCGUGCCUAAUACAUGCAAGUCGAGCGAACGGACGAGAAGCUUGCUUUUCUGAUGUUAGCGGCGGACGGGUGAGUAACACGUGGAUAACCUACCUAUAAGACUGGGAUAACUUCGGGAAACCGGAGCUAAUACCGGAUAAUAUUUUGAACCGCAUGGUUCAAAAGUGAAAGACGGUCUUGCUGUCACUUAUAGAUGGAUCCGCGCUGCAUUAGCUAGUUGGUAAGGUAACGACUUACCAAGGCAACGAUGCAUAGCCGACCUGAGAGGGUGAUCGGCCACACUGGAACUGAGACACGGUCCAGACUCCUACGGGAGGCAGCAGUAGGGAAUCUUCCGCAAUGGGCGAAAGCCUGACGGAGCAGCGCCGCGUGAGUGAUGAAGGUCUUCGGAUCGUAAAACUCUGUUAUUAGGGAAGAACAUAUGUGUAAGUAACUGUGCACAUCUUGACGGUACCUAAUCAGAAAGCCACGGCUAACUACGUG